Long non-coding RNA from Cynocephalus volans (Philippine flying lemur), 934 nucleotides. RefSeq lists it as uncharacterized. The record is from RefSeq and is a predicted model, not a curated record. The transcript has 3 exons. Lineage: Eukaryota; Metazoa; Chordata; Mammalia; Dermoptera; Cynocephalidae.
AGGGCAAGAGGGAACUGGGUUUGCUGUCACUGGAGGAUUCUGCUUCUUUGGAGUUUGUGUGAGGGCCCCAUCCAAUCAGUUGAAGGCCUACAGAGCAAAGACUGAGUAUCCCUAAGAAGGAGGAAUUCUCAAGAUUGCAAAAUAGAAAACCUGCUGGAGUUUUUAGCCUGCUUUUCUGCAGAAUUCAGACUCAAGGCUGAGGAAUCAACUCUUACCUGAAUUUCCAGCCUGCUGGAUAGAACUUGGACCUGCCAGCCCCCACAGUCAUUAAUUGGUGACUCCUCCUAAGAAAGCAGAAUACGUCCUGUUUCCCAGGGAGAUGGUGGAAGAGAGGUGAAGGCAGAGGACCCAGAAUCAAGUUCAGCUGAUGGAGAAGAAUGGAAGAUUGUUCUCAAAAUACUGAUCGGGUCUCAUUACAACUCUACAGAAAAAACAUGAUGCCUUGUUUCUCUACCAAGAUCCUGAUUUCUCCCUCAACAUCCAUUGCUUAUUUCUGUGUUGAAAAUAAUUGAGAGCAAAUGGGCUCCUGCUCCCCCUCCAGUGGUGUGGAGGAGACGUAAGGGACCGACUGCCUGCUCUCAGCUCCAGUGGGUGUGCCCUUGGACUCUGGAUCCCAGUGAUCUGGGUUUGAAUCCCAUCUUCUGCUUUCUCAUUGUGGCCUAAACCUCUCUGUGCCUUAAUUUCCUCACUUGCAAAGUGAGAAUAAUAACAGUUUUAGUGUUAGAAAGCUCGAAGAAAGCAGUGUAGUGAAACCAAAGAGAGCAGAAUUUGAAUCCCAGCUUUGCCAGUUGCUAAUUUCCUGGCCUCAAACAAAUUAUUUUAUCUGUAAUAUAGGUGUAUUCAUAAUCAUAAUGAGGAUGAUAAUAAUAUCAAUUUCAUAAGGCUUAUGGUAAGGAUUGAUAAAGAUAAUAUAUAUUCUGUGCUGAGGACAGUG